RNAcentral lists this ribosomal RNA (253 nucleotides) under uncultured bacterium. RNAcentral's name for it is "partial 16S ribosomal RNA". It matches the Rfam family "Bacterial small subunit ribosomal RNA", at positions 524 to 776 of the family's 1533-position model. The record is from RNAcentral.
UACGAAGGGGGCGAGCGUUGUUCGGAAUCACUGGGCGUAAAGGGCGCGUAGGCGGCCCUUCUUGUCGCGUGUGAAAGCCCCGGGCUCAACCUGGGAAUGGCGCGCGAGACGGGGGGGCUGGAGUUCGGGAGAGGAGCGUGGAAUUCCCAGUGUAGAGGUGAAAUUCGUAGAUAUUGGGAAGAACACCGGUGGCGAAGGCGGCGCUCUGGCCCGUAACUGACGCUGAGGUGCGAAAGCGUGGGGAGCAAACAGG